Molecule: ribosomal RNA, 253 nt
Filed under: uncultured bacterium
Lineage: Bacteria
Description: partial 16S ribosomal RNA
Rfam family: Bacterial small subunit ribosomal RNA
Source: RNAcentral
GACGAAGGACCCAAGCGUUAUCCGGAUUCAUUGGGUUUAAAGGGUGCGUAGGCGGGUUGAUAAGUCAGUGGUGAAAUCCUAAUGCUUAACAUUAGAACUGCCAUUGAUACUGUCGAUCUUGAAUAUGUUUGAUGUGGGCGGAAUAUGACAUGUAGCGGUGAAAUGCUUAGAUAUGUCAUAGAACACCGAUUGCGAAGGCAGCUCACAAAGCCAUUAUUGACGCUGAGGCACGAAAGUGCGGGGAUCAAACAGG